This 898-nucleotide long non-coding RNA is filed under the name Homo sapiens (human). Its description in RNAcentral is "non-protein coding LINC01828:41". Lineage: Eukaryota; Metazoa; Chordata; Mammalia; Primates; Hominidae. The record is from RNAcentral.
CAAGAAACAGAUCCUAAACCUGUUUUGUUUUAUUUUUGGUAGUAGUUGUUUAUUUUUGAAAACAUUCAAACCACCUGUAUUGGUGGCUGUUAUUAUGAAAUAAAUAAACUGAGAAACAACAAGACAAUUUGGCCUCUACAAUUUGUUUAGUUUUGACUAAGUAUUUGCCUUGGAAGAAGUAUGUGUACAAUACUCAUUUUUAAAAGAUGCAACAGUCACCUCGUUACUUGGAGUUUUACUUGAGACUUGAAUGGACUGAAACCACCUGGUCACCACUAGAAGCUACAUCAAGGAAAAGAAAGGCAACAUAUUGAAUCUCUUGGGAGAAACUCAUCCUGUAUCUGCUCGAUUGAAAACAUGAAGGUGCACAUUCCAAGCUGCAUAUGCUCAGGUCCGAGUUUCCAAGGAAACAAGGGACUGCUCAUCUAUCUGCAAAACUGAACUGACGAGUCACUUUCAGCUUGUUACAAACCUUGAUUCUGAAUCAAAUUCUAGUGUGCAGUCUAAAAAUUCUCACUGCCUUGUCAUUUCUGCCGAGCAAACCCCUGAUGCUAUGAGGCUGGCAGUUGGGCAGGGAUUUUCCUGGGUUGUGCACUCUAAUUUUUUCCUCUGCACUGUUAGUGAAAUACUGUCAUUGAGAACCAGCUCCACACUGCACCUAUGUGAGAAAGGCCUUGGUUUCUAUCAGUAAAGUCAGACAGGGCUAUGUGCAUUUGGGAUGCCCUGGUCAACCAUACAGGAGGAAGCACAGUGGUCUUCCCAGCUCUCACAGUGGCCACCAGCUCUCAGGCUCACAAACUAGGCAAAGCAAAGAGCAACAGAACAACCUACUUCCCAACUUUCAUUAGUCACUCAAAUCCAAGUGGGUGAUCGUAUUUCUGAAGGUCUUGAAUACAGG